UGGGGCCAAUGAUUGGGGUGAAGUCGUAACAAGGUAGCCGUAUCGGAAGGUGCGGCUGGAUCACCUCCUUU
Molecule: ribosomal RNA, 71 nt
Filed under: Virgibacillus halotolerans
Lineage: Bacteria; Bacillati; Bacillota; Bacilli; Caryophanales; Bacillaceae
Also listed under: 1 other name
Description: partial 16S ribosomal RNA
Rfam family: Bacterial small subunit ribosomal RNA
Source: RNAcentral